CUCCACGACACGGGGUGCCCCUGCCUGGGGCUGAGAUCACACCCGGCGAACCUGAUCGAGCUCGUACUCGCGGAGGGAUGUCAUCCAUGGCACAC
Molecule: non-coding RNA, 95 nt
Filed under: Agrococcus jejuensis
Lineage: Bacteria; Bacillati; Actinomycetota; Actinomycetes; Micrococcales; Microbacteriaceae
Description: TPP sequence
Rfam family: TPP riboswitch aptamer (THI element)
About the family: Vitamin B(1) in its active form thiamin pyrophosphate (TPP) is an essential coenzyme that is synthesised by coupling of pyrimidine and thiazole moieties in bacteria. The previously detected thiamin-regulatory element, thi box was extended, resulting in a new, highly conserved RNA secondary structure, the THI element, which is widely distributed in eubacteria and also occurs in some archaea. Analysis of operon structures identified a large number of new candidate thiamin-regulated genes, mostly transporters, in various prokaryotic organisms.
Source: RNAcentral